Molecule: ribosomal RNA, 207 nt
Filed under: uncultured bacterium
Lineage: Bacteria
Description: partial 16S ribosomal RNA
Rfam family: Bacterial small subunit ribosomal RNA
Source: RNAcentral
CGCGUAGGCGGGGAGGUAAGUCGGGUGUGAAAUCCCUCGGCCCAACCGGGGAACUGCGCCCGAAACUGCUUCUCUUGAGUCCCGGAGAGGAAGAUGGAAUUCCCGGUGUAGCGGUGAAAUGUGUAGAGAUCGGGAGGAACACCGGUGGCGAAGGCGGUCUUCUGGACGGUGACUGACGCUGAGGCGCGAAAGCGUGGGGAGCAAACG